UAGGGAAUCUUCGGCAAUGGACGAAAGUCUGACCGAGCAACGCCGCGUGAGUGAAGAAGGUUUUCGGAUCGUUAAAACUCUGUUGGUAGAGAAGAACGUUGGUGAGAGUGGAAAGCUCAUCAAGUGACGGUAACUACCCAGAAAGGGACGGCUAACUACGUGCCAC
This 166-nucleotide ribosomal RNA is filed under the name uncultured bacterium. RNAcentral's name for it is "partial 16S rRNA". It matches the Rfam family "Bacterial small subunit ribosomal RNA", at positions 355 to 511 of the family's 1533-position model. The record is from RNAcentral.